UUAGAUGCGCAGUGCAUAUUAAUAUGCUAGAAAACAUUAAAUCGAGAAAAGAGAAUUUAAUAUUAGAAGGAAUAAUUAGUGCCAUAAAUAUACAUCGACAAGCUUUGAAAUUAUCCAAACUUUUGAUGUUUAAACUUGAGACAAUGAUGUUCUGCUUAAUAGUAUUCCAUGUGAUUUCUUUGAGUCUUAAUCUCUUUCAAGUUUCUCAUGUUUCAUUCGGAUAUGAUAUAAAAGAGUUGUUAAUUC
Molecule: unclassified non-coding RNA, 246 nt
Filed under: Camponotus floridanus (Florida carpenter ant)
Lineage: Eukaryota; Metazoa; Arthropoda; Insecta; Hymenoptera; Formicidae
Description: uncharacterized LOC112639658, transcript variant X2
Source: RNAcentral